AAGGGUUGAAAAAUAAUUAUUUUAUUUUGGUAAAAAGAAAAAAAAAAGAAAUUUUCUUUUAAGGGAGAAAAUAUAGAGGCAAACUCUGCUUACCCUAAUAAUCCAUAGUUUAUUCGGUUGGAUUCCAAAUUUAUUUUGGAUUUAAUGCGACUAUCAAAUGAUAAUAUUUUGUACACGAAUUAACAUGUCGGUGAAAACACGAGAUUAUCAUAAAAUUUAUUGUGAAUUUUUUUCAAACCAAAACAAAAAAAGUAAAAGUUAUAUUCAAAAAAGAAAGAAAGUGGAAAUAAAAAUAUGUGCACG
Molecule: long non-coding RNA, 303 nt
Filed under: Gossypium barbadense (sea-island cotton)
Lineage: Eukaryota; Viridiplantae; Streptophyta; Magnoliopsida; Malvales; Malvaceae
Description: long non-coding RNA (GBAR_LNC022255)
Source: RNAcentral